RNAcentral lists this ribosomal RNA (301 nucleotides) under uncultured bacterium. RNAcentral describes it as "partial 16S ribosomal RNA". It matches the Rfam family "Bacterial small subunit ribosomal RNA", at positions 509 to 809 of the family's 1533-position model. The record is from RNAcentral.
CAGCCGCCGCGGUAAUACGUAGGGUGCGAGCGUUAAUCGGAAUUACUGGGCGUAAAGCGUGCGCAGGCGGUUCGUUAAGACAGAUGUGAAAUCCCCGGGCUUAACCUGGGAACUGCAUUUGUGACUGGCGAGCUAGAGUAUGGCAGAGGGGGGUAGAAUUCCACGCGUAGCAGUGAAAUGCGUAGAGAUGUGGAGGAAUACCGAUGGCGAAGGCAGCCCCCUGGGCCAAUACUGACGCUCAUGCACGGAAGCGUGGGGAGCAAACAGGAUUAGAUACCCGCGUAGUCCCUGUCUCUUAUAA